AUGUCAGGAACGUGUGAGAACUCCCCCAGACGGUCUUUCGGAGUCACCCUGCCCUCCCAGACAAUUUUGGUGCUGGCUGCCUCCAGGAACCUGACUCUCUCAGUCUCUUACUAUUUCACUCCGUGGGUCAAGUCUAUGCAAAGCCUUCACGCUGAGCCUUGCCUUGCAGGCAGCCUUUGUGAGGCAGUCAUCAUGGCUCAGCUAACUGCAGCAGGAAGAGACAAACAUGGAGCUAAAAGCACAGCAGCUGGGAUUCCAGGAAAGCGGGAAGUUCUGCAGUUAGCAUCAGGAUCUCACUGUGUUGCCCAGGCUGAUCUUGAACUCCUGGGCUCAAACCAUCCUCCUGCCUCAGCCUCCCAAAGUGCUAGGAUUACAAGCGUAAGCCACCACGCCUGGCCUCAUCCUAUCAUUCUUAAUACCCACAGAACACUAUUCAGAAAAUUCAUUGGUUAAAAAAAUGUCAAUUCCUCAAAACAGCAAAGUACUAUCUCCAAGUUCCAUGUAAAGUUUGUGAUUG
RNAcentral lists this long non-coding RNA (517 nucleotides) under Papio anubis (olive baboon). Its description in RNAcentral is "lncRNA (ENSPANG00000041411.1)". Lineage: Eukaryota; Metazoa; Chordata; Mammalia; Primates; Cercopithecidae. The record is from RNAcentral.